RNAcentral lists this transfer RNA (66 nucleotides) under Dryops luridus. RNAcentral describes it as "tRNA-Ile". The record is from RNAcentral. RNAcentral also lists the same sequence under 1 other name. Lineage: Eukaryota; Metazoa; Arthropoda; Insecta; Coleoptera; Dryopidae.
AAUGAAGCGCCUGGUUGAAAGGGCUAUUUUGAUAGAAUAGAUUAUGUGUAAAAAACACCUUCAUUA